UAGGGAAUCUUCGGCAAUGGGGGGAACCCUGACCGAGCAACGCCGCGUGAGUGAAGAAGGUUUUCGGAUCGUAAAGCUCUGUUGUUAAGGAAGAACGAGUGUGAGAAUGGAAAGUUCAUGCUGUGACGGUACUUAACCAGAAAGGGACGGCUAACUACGUGCUAGCAGCCGCGGUAAUACGUAGGUCCCGAGCGUUGUCCGGAUUUAUUGGGCGUAAAGCGAGCGCAGGCGGUUAGAAAAGUCUGAAGUGAAAGGCAGUGGCUCAACCAUUGUAGGCUUUGGAAACUGUUUAACUUGAGUGCAGAAGGGGAGAGUGGAAUUCCAUGUGUAGCGGUGAAAUGCGUAGAUAUAUGGAGGAACACCGGUGGCGAAAGCGGCUCUCUGGUCUGUAACUGACGCUGAGGCUAGAAAGCGUGGGGAGCGAACAGG
RNAcentral lists this ribosomal RNA (429 nucleotides) under Bacteroidota bacterium. RNAcentral describes it as "Bacteroidetes bacterium partial 16S ribosomal RNA". It matches the Rfam family "Bacterial small subunit ribosomal RNA", at positions 355 to 776 of the family's 1533-position model. Lineage: Bacteria; Pseudomonadati; Bacteroidota. The record is from RNAcentral.